CACCGCGGUUAUACGAGAGGCCCAAGUUGAUUAACCCCGGCGUAAAGAGUGGUUAAGAUGUAUUAUUAACUAAAGCCGAAUGCCCUCAAAGCUGUUAUACGCACCCGAAGGUAAGAAGCUCAAUCACGAAAGUGGCUUUACACCACCUGAACCCACGAAAGCUAUGACA
RNAcentral lists this ribosomal RNA (169 nucleotides) under Centrarchus macropterus. Its description in RNAcentral is "partial small subunit ribosomal RNA". Lineage: Eukaryota; Metazoa; Chordata; Actinopteri; Centrarchiformes; Centrarchidae. The record is from RNAcentral.